CCGCAGCGGGGAAGCGGUUCGCGUGUGCAACUCCGUGUCGGCUCGGGCUGCGGGCUGCGAGCGCUCUGCGGCGCACACGAAUAUUUUUAGAUAACAGCACGAAUAAUUUAUUUGCAAGGUAGUGAUCGCGCGCACUUUUGCGGAUAUCGGUAUCGGCGCAUGCGGGUUCGUGUGCGCUGCGCAAAGCGGUGGACGGCGGCGGGUGUCGGCUGCGCCCGCCGCCCGCCGGCGGAGACGUCCCGAUAGGUGCGUGAGGCGAUAGAGUUGCUGCAAGCUGCGCGGGCGCACUCCUCAUCCCUGGAGUGCCGGUUGACACUGGAUGGAUGAACUGGAUGAACUCCCCUACUAGCCAGAUGGAUGACAAUUAGCGGAGGAGAGAAGUAUUGUAGUGCGCGCUGUGCGCCUGAGUCAGCAUGAUGUCAUAGCAGCGGUGAUGCGGCUAAUGGGAGCGUCCCGCCGACGACGUCACAUCCCAUUCCCGCCGCAUACUUCACCCAAUCGAGCGAUGACAAAUCCAUUCAUAUUCUUCCAUUGCCGUUAACUGUUGUGUUAAACAUUGAAUUCUUGCAAUUCCGAAGCAAUUAAAGUCCAUAUAACGAAACGGCACAUGACGCUCGUUGCUAACUGACUGCGGUUUUCCUCUCCUCAUCGAAUUUACGCUUUAGGUAAGUAACAUGGACAUUAUUCAGGUAUUUUUCCUACAGAUAAUAUGUUCCUAGAUCAUAAUGUGAAUAGUUUCGCCCGGGAGUGAAUGCAGAUUCAUGCAAAACUGGAAGAAAGAAGAAAAGGAAUAACGAAACUGGUUUUCAUAAUGAUUUGACAGAUUGUUCAAUAUUCUGAGAUCAUUGUGAAAGCUGAUUUUGUUCCUAGUUCAACAGUAGCGGUUGUCAACCAACGAGAAAAAUAAUUAACAGGAAGAAUAUUUUGUCAUUUUAAUGUAUAGUUGUGUAUGCGUGUAUAUUUAAAUGUAUGUUAUGUAUUCAAUUCAGUUUUUGUUAAAAAUGGAAGACUUUGGCGUGUAAAUUAAGUGAUUUAUUUGGCAAUUAUAUUUGUUAUUUCUGGUUGCAUGAGCCCUGAAAUAUCAUCAUGGGAUUGUGAUCAUGUAAAAUGUCUCUGAUACAUUUUUAAUGAGGAUGAAUUCUUUUUUUUAUGCAACAGUGUGUUUUAUUGCGUAAAUUUUAUACAAACCUAAUGUCUAUAAAUAUGUUAUUUGACACAAAGUACCUAUUAUAGAUUGUAAGCACAACCUAAGCCUUAUAUAUUUUAUUUGUAAACUAAAAAUUAUCAAGGUCUGUUUUGAAAGAUAUGCUAGGCGCAGGAGAAAUGAACUAUUGUGAAGAUUUUUGGAAAGCUUAGGCCGUCAAUACACGGACCGCUUGAAGCAGUCAGGGGCGACAACUUCAAGCUGUUCACCGCCCCUAUCAGUUGCAACUGCUCAAGCGGUUCGUGUAUGUACGACCAUAGAACUCUGCAGUUCACUGUGCAGUCACAGCUUGAAGCUGUCGCCCCUGACUGCUUUAAGCGGUCCGUGUAUUGCCGGCCUUACGUAUUAUGUGUAAUAUGUAAUAAUUUUCACGUAGUCUGCUGUUGGCAAAAUCUAAAAUUCUGUAAUAAGAAAAAAAUUGAAUGUUAAGUAUCAUUAUUUUGCACCCUUUCUUUGGACGGAUCUAGCAUUAACUUGCUUUUACAUUCACAUUACCAACUACAUCAUACUAUCCACUAAUUUUAUAAAUACUCACAUAUUUUCUACUUAAUUGCUAAUGUCAAAAAUAUGGGAAAAGCUUGGUGCCUCUGCAAUGUAACUAAUGCAAAUUAAUUAAAAAUAAAUGCUACUCAAGAA
RNAcentral lists this long non-coding RNA (1840 nucleotides) under Helicoverpa zea (corn earworm). RNAcentral describes it as "uncharacterized LOC124635376". The stretch from base 786 to 867 matches the Rfam family "bantam microRNA precursor family". Lineage: Eukaryota; Metazoa; Arthropoda; Insecta; Lepidoptera; Noctuidae. The record is from RNAcentral.